UGGAUCACCUCCUAACAGGGAGACAACAACUGAUUUUGAUGUCUGAGUAAUUUAUUCUCAGGCCGAAAUCCUGUCAUCUCGAAGGUCGAUCGGUACCUCAACUUGAGGGUCUAGAGAAUUUAUUCUGUUAGAUCAACUCAAUUUCAGUUCCUAAACUUUGUCUAGGUCACCCACUAAGGGUACAUAACUCCUGGGCCAUUAGCUCAGGUGGUUAGAGCGCACCCCUGAUAAGGGUGAGGUCCCUGGUUCAAGUCCAGGAUGGCCCAUUCGUGUUUGGGGGUUUAGCUCAGUUGGUAGAGCGCCUGCUUUGCAAGCAGGAUGUCAGCGGUUCGAGUCCGCUAACCUCCAUCCAACAGGAGGCCCCUUGGUUCGAAUUCUGAAAGGAGUUCCUGGUGAGGUGACAUAGAUUAAAUUCGGAACUGGCAUUGAGAAAUGACCAGGAAAGCAACGCUGAGUCAGACGACUCCAGCCUCGUUUCAUUCCAAAGUUGUUGAUUUAAUAAAAGAUCAACCGGUUGAAACGAUGCUGGACUCAAGGCUUUUAACCAAAGCCUUAAGUCCAGCCUCGUUUCAUUCCAAAGUUGUUGAUUUAAUAAAAGAUCAACCGGUUGAGACGAUGCUGGACUCAAGGCUUUUAACCGAAGCCUUAAGUUUCAGCAGAACCUUGACAACUGCAUAGGUAAGUCUGGAAAUAAAGCAUCUCAUGGAUGCCCAGAUGCGAAAGAGAUCAGGUGAGGGCGAAUAGCCUGAGCUUGAAAUUUUUGUGUGUUUGGGAAAAUUCUAUUGAGUUUUUAGAGCCGAGAAAUCCAAUGGUUCUUUUUAGCCAUCCAAGUUAACUGCGUGGAGGGCUUAAAGAGUUUGAUCCUGGUAUUCAAGUCUGAUUGAGCCGACCUGAAAGGGAAAGUUAAAACGAUACUGAAUCUAGAGAGAAUGGGCCUCAACAGCCUGAAGCCAUUGGAGG
Molecule: transfer RNA, 960 nt
Filed under: uncultured cyanobacterium
Lineage: Bacteria; Bacillati; Cyanobacteriota
Description: partial contains 16S ribosomal RNA and 16S-23S ribosomal RNA intergenic spacer
Rfam family: tRNA (bases 276-348)
Source: RNAcentral